This is a long non-coding RNA of Felis catus (domestic cat), 4879 nucleotides long. RefSeq lists it as uncharacterized. The transcript has 3 exons. The record is from RefSeq and is a predicted model, not a curated record. Lineage: Eukaryota; Metazoa; Chordata; Mammalia; Carnivora; Felidae.
UCUCUCUGUCUCUCAAUAACGAAUAAACUUUAAAAAAUUUUUAAAAAAUAAGUGGACAGCUCUUUUUCAGACUUAAAUAGAAGAUGUCAGGACAGAUGAGACCAUCAGAAAAGAGUAUAUCGACACUGACUUUCUAAACACUUACAGACCUUGUGUUGUGUUGCUAGGCCUUGUGCUGAGUCCCAGAUGCAAGAGGAAGAUACUGACCAGUCUUUAUCUUGCUCCCAGUCUGGAAGGGACACAUGACCUAUGCUCCAGAGAAGCUAAUACCCUCCAAGGUGUGCAGCGCCCAGUGAAAUCCGCAUUUUACAGCUGAGGAAAAUGAGUCUCCAAGAGAUGGAGAGACCUGCCUCCCAUCACACCAGUGCCAGCAAGCGGCAGCGGCAGCUGCGAGCCCCAGGUCUCCCUGCUCUAACCUCUGUGGGCUGUUUUUGGCCACCUGAGCUGGCGGGAGGCUGGUGGUGAGGGCCAGAGGUGCCUGGGGACUGCGGUCCUCUGGGGUGGGGAUGCCGAGAGAGGUACCACUUCAGGUUCAAGUUGCUAGUUUUGCAGGAGUAUAAAAUUACUGCACAAGUCCCAGAGAAUAAACAGAGUUAACACCCCAUUAAAUACAAUGGACUUUCUACGUGAGCUUCAGACGUGCCUAGAUUGAAACUAGCUGAGCAGGAGCUGGCCCGUGAGUAAAAUGUAUCACGCACGCUGCCUUAACACUUUCAAAAAAGAAAAAUCCAGCACAGGGAGAAGGAAGCGCCAGCAGCAGCUCUGCAGGCUCAGGGCUGAGGAUCCGGUAAUGAAGUCUUUCUGGAAGCAGCAAACCCGACCCUGGACCCCCAGCCUGGGACCCACUGCCGUGUUGCUGCCUUGGCAGGAGGUGAGCAGAGGAGGCGGCAGCUCGGUCUCAGCUUGCAAACUGAGCCCGUCUCUCUUGGCUGUGCCAGCUCCGGAGGCCCCUCAGAGAUGCCAGUAUGCCUGAGUGGGAGCAGUUGCAACUUCCCCUGGGCUGGAAGCCUUGGGAGCCAGCAAGGCCUCGGGAAGCUGCAUUCUUGGGCAAGGGCGUGGCCAGAGGACUGCUGAUCGGAGGCGGGAGGUCUCUUCUUGGGCAAGCUGCCCUCAUUGUCUCGCCUCGCCUGGGCCUGCUGGCCAGGUUCACGGGCAGGAGCAGCACCACUGUUCCUCACCUUCUCCGGAACAGGACCAGCGGAUGCUGUAGGAGGCUGGGGUUUCAUUAUAAAUCCUCUUCAUUUCUGGCUCGCUCACAACCACGAAACAUAAAGAGAGCCAGCUAGACGGAGGGAAGCCAGCCCCUUGCAGAUUCAACGUUUGAAUAGGCAGGAGCUUCAGGCCCUCUUCACACCAGCGCGGGUCGGCUGUGGAUUUUAACAGAGCUGCAGGCUUUCUCGAGCCCCCAGGUCCCUCCCAAUUGUCAUGGUGCUUCCUGGCCGGGACAGCAGAGGGCGCUGGCUCUCCCGACAGCUUACUGUCACAGGCGGCGCUCCCACACAUCUGGAAAUGGGCUCUUCCACUCUUACGAAAUGUUGGACAAGGAUCUGUCCGUGUGAGAUGUGCUGGCACCGAGUGAGCAAGCAAGCAUACACAUCAAGAAUUCCACUUUCUCAUUAGUUCAGUUUCUCCCUCAAGAGCACUGGUGGAAUGUGGGGAAUUUGCCUUGCCAGAGCAGCCUGCACAUUGGAGUCUUGGGCUCGGUUCAGCCUGGGUGGAAUGCUUGGAGGGACCACCUCUGGUCUGAAGCCUUUGCCCUUCCCUCCCACGUGGAGGGGGGAAAAGAAAACAGAAGAGCAGGACCUCCCAGAUCUUUCCCCCAGGGGAAGAAAGCUAAGAAUGUUUGGCCUUGCCCCUGUGGGCCUCCUGAGGAGAGCAAAUGCCCACAUUUCCAGGUCCUUGAGAAACAAGAUCUAAUUCUAAGAAAGCAUUCCCAAAUUACAAGCGAUUAGAAAUGCCAAUGACAUAUGCAAACAAUGGAGCUGGGAGAGGAGAGACUGCCCGGAGGAAGGCAGAGCUGGAGCCAGGGAAGGGACCUGGUUGCUAUUCCCAGAAUGCUCCCUAGACUUCUACAAGCCGCAUGCAUUUAAAUGUCCACAUUUUCCCCGCAGAAGCCAGCAAUCUGUACUUCUCUUGGCCAAACAACACAUCAGUCUAAUAUGGUGUUGGAGAAACGCAUUACAUUCUUUUAUGAACAGAAUGUUAACAUCACCUAGAAUCAAUAUUUAUAUCCAAGAACACAAGGAACUGGCUUGUUUUGUGCUGCGGCAGGUUUAAGAAAGGGACAUCCGGGGGUUGCUGGAAGUUCCCCUUGCUCCUACCCAGAAAGGCAUGGCCCAUGGCUCUGGCAUCCAAAGGGUUUCCACCUCGAGACCCUGCAAUCCUGGGAUUGCGAGAGGAAGCCAGAAGCAGCAAGUGGGGCAGGACUUCACAGUGAGGUCCAGGGCGGGAGACAAUAUCCUGUGACAGUUUGGGGGAAGGAGGUUCAGACUUGUAUCCUGGCACUUUUCCUAUUGCAUAUCAAAGUGAGAGCAGACACAGCUUAACAUAAAUCUUAACACGAGAGACUUCUGGGGGCUUGGAAAGCAAGGGACGGGGUGAGAUGACACUUUCUCUUUCACACUGGUGAGGUUUUUUUGGCCAGGCAAUUACCUUCAUCUGAGCCAGCCAUUGUGACAGUGAAGGAAGCCAAGUCUCCUCCCCUCAGAAUGCUGUGUAUUCCUCCAGAGGUUUUUGGGAAACUCCAUCAAGCUCCUUAGGCUGUUUUGUUCCUUAAUGCUGUUUUUAUUUUACUGCCUUUAGAAGCCUCUGGGCCUGCAGCCUGGAGUCAGUGCCUUGCUCCUUCUUACAUGAUUUCACUUUUGCCUGCACCAGAGCAUCUAAAAUUGUGAACGUCUUCUUCAUCUCUUGGACUGAAUUGGGGCCUCAUUUUGCAGAGCAAGCAGGCCCCACUUGGUUCCCAAAUGAGAUGCUGAAGGUUACCCCUUUCAACAGUAGCACUUGUCUCUCAUUAAAUGCCUGGAGCUCAUUAUGGUAUUACCUGCAGAAAAGUCUCUACGGCUUUAAUAGGCAUGAUCUUUAGAAAAGAUCCUUUGGCUUAUGUAUAAGACCAAGACAUGAUUAAUCUUGGCCCCAUUUAGCUGGGGUCAGAUCUUCAGUCUACAGUGAAUCCUCUUCUCGGCAUAAUCACAAUUUACAAUUUUCUAAAAUUUACAGCCCUUUCCCCUGUGUCGUUAGCAUGUUUAGUUGUUGCAAUUCACUUGAUCGGUCCUGUUAUUUUCAUCCAGUUCUGAGAAACAAUCAGUAAAUAUGCCAGUCAUACUUGCUAUAAACUCAGCCAUGAUAUACAGACAAUAUUUCACUGUAAGCCAUGUGGAUGUUUAGCAUCUUUACAGAUGCAAAGCUCCCCCUGCAGAAAUCCCAUGCAAGAAACCUGUACUAGUUAAAUGCUCUGAACACCUUUAGAGAUACUGCCUGAUUUAAGCCAACCAGAAAGUGGCACGUGGGUCCAGAUGCUGUUCUGGUGUCAUGGGCAGAACCAAAGAAUAGUCAAAGUUGAUAGGAGGGUCAAGGAUCAAAGAGUGAAAUCUUUAGUCAGGAUGGUGUGACUUUUUGCCUGUAGAGCAGUGCCAGAAUCUGAGAGGAAGGGGCUGACACUAGGGCCUCCUUACGGGUCUUUAGUAAAUGUCACCUCAAGUCCAGACCUAUCUUUUAAGCUUUAGAAUUGUCAAUAUAAAUACUUAUUUAACACCUACCCUCCUGCAUCUGAACUGAACGUGGCCGCAAAGACCUCUGAUUUGUGGACACUCCUGCCUGUUCCAGUCUGCUCCUCCCCCAGGCUUUCCAUCCCAAGAAAUGGCGCCCCUAUGGAUCUGUUUGAGAUUCCUGCACAGCUGCUCUCUCUCCUCCCUCCUUCCCACCUCUAGCUGUCACUCAUCUUGUCCAUUCUACUGCCCACUGAGCUUCAUGGCAUCCUCUCCUCCCAUCCCUUCUUUUUUCAAGUCCCAUCUUGAGGGUCACUUCCUAGAGAGGCUUUCCCUGACCCCACAGUCUAAAACAGGUCCCUACUCCCUGCCAGCACACUCUCGAGAACCACCACUCUCUUCCUGCAUUUGAUCCCCGCAGUUAAUAUCCUAUGGACUCAGCUUUUCUUAUUCAUGUUUCCUCCACUAGACUGUAAGGUCCGCAAAAGCAAGAACCAUUCUGUUCUGUUGAGCCUGCCACGGAGGGUAGUAAAUAUAGGCUGAACUACUUAAUGAAAUUAUACUGCAAUCUGGGCAGCUGCUGAGAGGGGGUAUGAUGCUACUUUAAAGGUUUAUGCCUUCCUGAUGAACCUGUCUGGCCAGACCCCAUGUUACUCCCAAAUUCCUCUUUGAGGAGUCCCUCACUGAGGGUUGGGAGAAACCGAGUCAAAUUCCCAAAUGUCUCUCUAAUCUGCUCCUUCACCAUUUCUACUACAGACUCUUCUUACUUUUGGCCUGAGUGUUUUAACAGUUUCCUAAUCAGCCUCUCUCCUUACUGCUUUGAAUUCAGGAGUCCAGCAAGGACUAAGAACUGCAAACAUGAACAGGGGGAAAUGCUUCUUGACUUUCAUAAACCUCUAACUGAAAUUGUGCACUUUGAUUUUAAAUGUGGGCAACAAACCCCAGCAGGACCUGUGAGUUUGCCCCCAACAGAAUCACAUAUGUUUUUACAUCACAUUACAGCUGUUGCAGAUAUUGAAAUACAAUUUCUGGCCAUUAGUGUUUUAAAGUUACGGUAGUUAUUAGAGCUGCUGCUAGAUUAUAUUAUUUAAUCCUUUAUUAAGAAAUACAAAUAUUCUGGGGUGCUUGGGUUGAGCGUCUGGCUUCAGCUCAGAUCUCACAGCUCAUGAGUUCGA